Molecule: long non-coding RNA, 455 nt
Organism: Canis lupus familiaris (dog)
Lineage: Eukaryota; Metazoa; Chordata; Mammalia; Carnivora; Canidae
Exons: 3
Source: RefSeq, a predicted model, not a curated record
AGGAGUCGUGUCCAGCCUGGCCUCCCAGAUUUGAGCAAUCUUUCACUGUCAAGAGAGGCUGGGAGAUUGAUUCAAUUAAGAUUAGCAGAGUCGGAAAAAUGGCAUCUGGGUUAGUUUUGGUCCUAAAAAAAAAAAAAAAGGUCCUGCUCCUGGUGACUUGGCACAACUUGUCACACACUGUUCCACCCUGUUCCGCACAGCCACGCAGGGCUGGCAUCCUCGUGGGCUGUGCAGGAGUGGCCUCACCCAUCCUUAGAGAUGAAAAUGCUUAUGCCUGCACGCAGAAGAAGACGAGGAGGAGACUGCUCUCUGUGAAACACACACAGAGAAAGGGCCACGUGAGGACACAGUGAGAAGCAAGGAGAGAGGUCUUAGCAGAAAUCAGCCCUGCCAGCACCUUGAUCUUGGACUCCCAGGCUCCAGAACGAUGAGAAGAGACAUCUGUACUGAAGCCA